This is a long non-coding RNA of Mus musculus (house mouse), 1239 nucleotides long. RefSeq annotates it as predicted gene, 36034. The transcript is spliced from 3 exons. NCBI's taxonomy places the organism in Eukaryota, Metazoa, Chordata, Mammalia, Rodentia, Muridae. The record is from RefSeq and is a predicted model, not a curated record.
CUGCCUGUCUUCCUCGCAGUACUUUCGUUUCCCAGAGAGAGUUUAUGUAAUGUGGAAAUUUUCUAUUCCUUAAAUGUUUGGUAGAAUUUACCUAUGAAGUUGUCCAGCCUUGGUAUUUUUGCCAUAUAAAAGAAUUUAAAUAUUGAUUUGGUUUCUAGAAGGAUUAGAAGCAGCUCCCACUUUCUGCUUCCAUCCUGCUACAGUUGGGCUGCAGAUACUCUGAUGCGACACGUUUGGUAUCAGCUUGCUUAGAAAAGGUUGUCUAGCUUUCCGUCUGCAUCAAUACUUGGCUGCCUUUGAAGUCUGGCUGUGUCACAGAGAUGCCUAGGAAUGGUGUCUUCAAUCAGUUCUGAAACCAUGAUCAGUAUGAUCAUAAUGAAAUGCAGCUGUCCAAGGCUCCUGGGAACACUGUUCUGGCAUUUUGGGCAGAAACAGGCAGCUGGUUAUUGCUUCUCCAUUUCCUUCUUGCUUUGCCACAGUGAAGCUGUUAGCAGUGAAGCCUAAGGCAGAGGGCAACACCUCUCCUGACCCAGGAGAACUGAAACCGGAAACUAGAAUUCAGACCUGCCCAAGACUACUUCGAAGAGCAUUGGUGACAUUAGUAUGAACUGAAUCCUCUUCUAAGGUGACUAGAGAGACAUUCCUCAAGAAAUCUGGCAUGACAUUUGACUGGGAGAUAUAACAUGUAUGUGAACUGUGUGUGCUUUCACUCAGAACUGGUUGUGAGCACUAUGACAGAAUUUCUGAAAGGCCACACCUUGCCAUGAUCAAGAGGACUCUAAGGAAGCUGAAGCUCAUGAGUAUGCUUUCUCCCUGUUGUCUCAGAGACUGGAUGGAUGAGGGAUUGAGAUCAAUCGAAAGAGUGUGGGACAAACAGCUACCUAAUUAAUCCCUUUGGCUGCUAAGUCAUUGUGAAAAAGCUAUUGCUGAUCAAAGGACUUAUAAAUAUCCAAAGCCUGUUGGAAGUUUAUAGCUCACUAAAUCUUAAGGGAAUCUCUCUUUCUAUGAGUUUCUCUUAUUACUUCUCUUCUCUUUUCCUUAUUCCUUCCUUUAAAGGGAAAAAUUGAGAUGGGCUCCUUAUGUAGUUUGGGCUGGCCUUGAACUUGUAAUCCUCCUGUCUUUGACUCCUGAGCACUAGGAUUUCUGGUGUGUGCUACCAUGUCCAGUUCCACAGAUUCAUUUUAAUAUGGCUAUGGAAUUUCUCCUUAACAUGGAAUAGAUGGACAAUAGUCAACUUUA